Molecule: non-coding RNA, 214 nt
Organism: Cinara cedri
Lineage: Eukaryota; Metazoa; Arthropoda; Insecta; Hemiptera; Aphididae
Source: the annotation of a GenBank genome assembly
ACGGUGCUGGGUUUCUCGAGUGUUUAGCGUACGGACGGCUUUUCUGCCAGAAGGCCAGCCAUUGCCAAUACGACACUGUCGGACGGGUUUUCAACGGCCAUUGCGGAAAUGCUAUGCUAAGGCGCGAAGUUGGCGGCGCGGAAUCGAACGCGGGACACCCGAGGAGGGCGCCAGCAAAAGCCUAUUUGAACGUUGUCGGGCGCGUUCGUGAUGU